This 301-nucleotide ribosomal RNA is filed under the name uncultured bacterium. RNAcentral describes it as "partial 16S ribosomal RNA". It matches the Rfam family "Bacterial small subunit ribosomal RNA", at positions 509 to 808 of the family's 1533-position model. The record is from RNAcentral.
CAGAGCCACGGUAAUACGUAGGGUGCAAGCGUUAAUCGGAAUUACUGGGCGUAAAGCGUGCGCAGGCGGUUAUAUAAGUCAGAUGUGAAAUCCCCGGGCUCAACCUGGGAACUGCAUUUGAGACUGUAUGGCUAGAGUGUGUCAGAGGGGGGUAGAAUUCCACGUGUAGCAGUGAAAUGCGUAGAUAUGUGGAGGAAUACCGAUGGCGAAGGCAGCCCCCUGGGAUAACACUGGCGCUCAUGCACGGAAGCGUGGGGAGCAAACAGGAUUAGAUACCCGUGUAGUCCCUGUCUCUUAUACA